CAUGUGACCUCAACUUAGGCGGGACUACCCACUG
This 34-nucleotide ribosomal RNA is filed under the name Hylodendron gabunense. RNAcentral describes it as "partial 26S ribosomal RNA". Lineage: Eukaryota; Viridiplantae; Streptophyta; Magnoliopsida; Fabales; Fabaceae. The record is from RNAcentral.